GGGACAGUAGCUCAGCCUGGACAAAUGAGGUAAGAGAGCAAUCGACUGAAGCUCGAUGAGUCGGGUGUUCAAAUCACCCCUGUCCCA
Molecule: transfer RNA, 87 nt
Filed under: Candidatus Aenigmatarchaeota archaeon
Lineage: Archaea; Nanobdellati; Candidatus Aenigmatarchaeota
Description: tRNA-Phe
Rfam family: tRNA
About the family: Transfer RNA (tRNA) molecules are approximately 80 nucleotides in length. Their secondary structure includes four short double-helical elements and three loops (D, anti-codon, and T loops).
Source: RNAcentral